AAUAGUCUUUUAAUUGAAGGCUGGAAUGAAUGGUCGGACAAAAUACAAGCUGUCUAAAAUUUAUAUUUUGAAUUUUACUUUUAAGUGAAAAGGCUUAAAUUAUUUAAAGUGACGAUAAGACCCUAUAAAGCUUUAUAUUAGUAAGAUUGAUUUUAUAUAUAAGGUGUAAAUUUAAUUUUUCUUAAGAUAUUGCAUUGGGGCGAUGUAAAUUUAAUAGAUAACAGUUGUUAAUUAAAAAUAAAUGAUAUUUAGAAAAGGAGAUCCUUUAUAAAGAUUAUAAGAAAAAGUUACUUUAGGGAUAACAGCGUGAUUUUUUCAGAGAGUUCAUAUCGAUGAAAGUAGUUGCGACCUCGAUGUUGAAUUAAGAUUUCUUUAAGGUGUAGCCGCUUUAAUUGUAGGUCUGUUCGACCUUUAAAAUCUUA
RNAcentral lists this ribosomal RNA (422 nucleotides) under Leptochela gracilis. RNAcentral describes it as "partial 16S ribosomal RNA". It matches the Rfam family "Bacterial large subunit ribosomal RNA", at positions 1967 to 2598 of the family's 2925-position model. The record is from RNAcentral. Lineage: Eukaryota; Metazoa; Arthropoda; Malacostraca; Decapoda; Pasiphaeidae.